AACACUGAAACCCUUUAGGAGUGAUGAAUGGAUACUCUGUGAAAGUGUAAGUUUUUCAUAUGAGAGCCCAAGUAAAAGCUAUUAUUAUUACUUCAUUGAACUGUAAUAAUCAUCUUAAAACUAAACCCAAAAAGCUUUUCUUUUUCUUUUUCUUUUUUUUCUUUUUUUAAACAAAAAUAAGUAAAUAAAUAAAAUCCUCAGAAGUAAUUUUGAACAUCUUUGGCAGGCACAAUAAAUUGGCAUCUCUUGUUGCAAGACAGGUGAAAUGGCUGCUCCCUGAGGGGUUCUGAUCACCUUGGCUCAAUCCAAGCUACACUGGGUUUUCGGUUUCUGCAGAUGUCAUGGAUAUGCUGCAGUGCAUACCAGAAGGUACAGGAAGAUGAUGAGAAGGGGAAAAUAUGAGAACACAGGGCAUACAUUAGUCUCAUCUUCUCCAGGAACUAUGCGGAGGGAAGAGAACAUACUGGCAAGGAGGAAGGGACGCUAUGGUUUCUGCUGGUCUCAAGAUAACAGCAGCCUUCCUAAUCCUUGGUUGGGCACAAAAGCUUGGAGAAUGCGGAAGUCUUUCUUAUCUCUUUGUACUGGGAAACAUUUCCCCUUACGUGUGAAAAAAAAAAAAGCAACAUUUUAUAGAUGAAUCUCUUUCAAAUUGGUACUGGUAAUCUACUGUCCUAAAAAAAACCUGCAGCAAUGUUUGAGUUGUGUUGUUUCUCAGUGUACCCUCAGUAGAAGAAUAAGAACCCACCCUGAGUAUAAUAUAAGAAUCAGAAAUGUAUUUUAAAAUGUAGGCUUUUUGUGUUGUUUUUUUUUUUUUUUACUUAUGUAUUUACACAUAAUGUGAUUGCUUGUAGAGACAAAAAACAAAAGAAGAACUAAUAGCAGUGCACAAAUAUAAGACAGUAAAGAUAGUGCUACUAAAGGAAAUGUGGCCUUUUAAAACCAAUCUUAUUGAAGUAGCCUCUUGGAUUUAAUGGAAAAAAAAAAAAAAAAAAAGUAUCCACACUUUGUAAGUAAGUUCUACACUUCAAAAUUUGCUAAUGCCAUCAUCAUUGCUGUUAAU
This 1060-nucleotide long non-coding RNA is filed under the name Phasianus colchicus (ring-necked pheasant). RNAcentral's name for it is "lncRNA (ENSPCLG00000003767.1)". Lineage: Eukaryota; Metazoa; Chordata; Aves; Galliformes; Phasianidae. The record is from RNAcentral.